GGUCACUUAUAAUUUACUUUACCAUUUCUGCUGUUAAAUAUAAUGAACAGUACAGGAUACUUGAAACAGGCUUCUCAUAAAUGUCAGUGUCUACUAGACUUGGGAUCUCAUUAACAAUAAAGAAGGGUUCUGGGUGUGAAAAAUCUCUCUUCUCAGGCUACUGGGAAGAAGAUCUUUUUAAUCCCUAGAAAAUGUGAAAAUAGUUUAAUUGCAUUUGUGUAAUGGUGAAAAGAGUGUAGAGGUGAGAAUUACAAAUGCCGAGAUUAGAUAAGCUUAUAUGAAUGAAUCAUCUAAGUGACUACUAAGUUUUUUCUUACAAGCUAUGCUUGGAGCACACAGAGAGGAGGAAGGAAACAGGAGUGAAAGCUGUUCUUCUAAUCAGUUUUCUGUAUGGGCAGCUUGGUACCUCGUAGAUGGGAUGGACAAGCUCUAUGUGCUAGUGUUCUAUUGCUCCAGAAAUAACUUGUGUCCUGCACGUUCUUUAGUGUUGACAGGUAGUGCAUACUAAUGAGCUGCUUGAAAAGAGAAACAAUACUGAUAUGAAAAGCUAUACAGAAAACUAGCCUUAAGAGUUUGGGGAAUGGGG
RNAcentral lists this long non-coding RNA (586 nucleotides) under Bos taurus (domestic cattle). RNAcentral describes it as "long non-coding RNA NONBTAT009230". The record is from RNAcentral. Lineage: Eukaryota; Metazoa; Chordata; Mammalia; Artiodactyla; Bovidae.